AAGUCCCGCAACGAGCGCAACCCUUAUCCUUGUUUGCCAGCGAGUAAUGUCGGGAACUCCAGGGAGACUGCCGGUGAUAAACCGGAGGAAGGUGGGGACGACGUCAAGUCAUCAUGGCCCUUACGAGUAGGGCUACACACGUGCUACAAUGGCGCAUACAGAGGGCGGCCAACUUGCGAAAGUGAGCGAAUCCCAAAAAGUGCGUCGUAGUCCGGAUUGGAGUCUGCAACUCGACUCCAUGAAGUCGGAAUCGCUAGUAAUCGUGGAUCAGAAUGCCACGGUGAAUACGUUCCCGGGCCUUGUACACACCGCCCGUCACACCAUGGGAGUGGGCUGCAAAAGAAGUAGGUAGUUUAACCUUCGGGGGGACGCUUACCACUUUGUGGUUCAUGACUGGGGUGAAGUCGUAACAAGGUAGCGCUAGGGGAACCUGGCGCUGGAUCACCUCCUUAUACGAUGAU
This 461-nucleotide ribosomal RNA is filed under the name Vibrio parahaemolyticus. Its description in RNAcentral is "bacterial SSU rRNA". It matches the Rfam family "Bacterial small subunit ribosomal RNA", at positions 1082 to 1533 of the family's 1533-position model. Lineage: Bacteria; Pseudomonadati; Pseudomonadota; Gammaproteobacteria; Vibrionales; Vibrionaceae. The record is from RNAcentral.